Molecule: ribosomal RNA, 125 nt
Filed under: Ixodes persulcatus (taiga tick)
Lineage: Eukaryota; Metazoa; Arthropoda; Arachnida; Ixodida; Ixodidae
Description: partial 5.8S rRNA
Rfam family: 5.8S ribosomal RNA
About the family: 5.8S ribosomal RNA (5.8S rRNA) is a component of the large subunit of the eukaryotic ribosome. It is transcribed by RNA polymerase I as part of the 45S precursor that also contains 18S and 28S rRNA. Functionally, it is thought that 5.8S rRNA may be involved in ribosome translocation.
Source: RNAcentral
GGGUCGAUGAAGAACGCAGCCAGCUGCGAGACUUGGUGUGAAUUGCAGGACACACUGAGCACUUACUCUUUGAACGCACAUUGCGGCCUCGGGCCUUCCCGUGGCUUCGUCUGUGUGAGGGUCGG